UACGUAGGGUGCGAGCGUUGUCCGGAAUUAUUGGGCGUAAAGGGCUCGUAGGCGGUUUGUCGCGUCGGGAGUGAAAUCAUCUGGCUUAACUGGGUGCUGCUUUCGAUACGGGCAGACUAGAGGUAUGCAGGGGAGAACGGAAUUCCUGGUGUAGCGGUGAAAUGCGCAGAUAUCAGGAGGAACACCGGUGGCGAAGGCGGUUCUCUGGGCAUGAUCUGACGCUGAGGAGCGAAAGUGUGGGGAGCGAACAGG
This 252-nucleotide ribosomal RNA is filed under the name uncultured bacterium. RNAcentral describes it as "partial 16S ribosomal RNA". It matches the Rfam family "Bacterial small subunit ribosomal RNA", at positions 524 to 776 of the family's 1533-position model. The record is from RNAcentral.